This is a long non-coding RNA of Homo sapiens (human), 893 nucleotides long. RefSeq lists it as uncharacterized. The record is from RefSeq and is marked validated. Lineage: Eukaryota; Metazoa; Chordata; Mammalia; Primates; Hominidae. The transcript has 2 exons.
AGGAUGCAAAUGUAUGUGAGAACUCAGAAAUGGGAGGGGGUCACUGACCCGUGCCACAAGGAUUUCCGGAGCCCCUUCUGUGAGACAUGCUCUGCUGAGGUGCUGGGGAUAGCACAACGAACCAGGCUGAGAGUCCCUGCUCUCACACAGCCUGUGUUCUACUAGGGGAGAGAACACCCAUAAGAAACUCAGUCAGGCUGGGCACAGCGCCUCCUUCAUGCCUUUAAUCUCAACACUUUGGGAAGCCAAGGUGGGAGGAUUACUUAAGCUCAGCCUGGGCAGCAUAGUGAGACCCCAUCUCUACAAAAAAUUUUAAAUUAGCCAGCCAUGGUGGUGCAUGCCUAUAGUCCCAGCUCCUCAGGAGGCUGAGGUCGGAGGAUCUCUUAACUCCAGGAGGUCAACUAAUGAGCCAAAAUCAUGCCACUGCACUCCAGCCUGAGCAACAGACAAAGACCCUGUCUCAAACAACAUCAACAAACCAGGAACUCAAUCAUUUCCAACUGUGUGAAGGGCCAAGAGGAAAAUAUUCAGGGUGAGGGUCCAUGAGAGUGCUGGCUAAUAGGCUAAACAUGGAGACACACGACGGACCUUCUAGAAAAGACAUUCCCUGAUAAAAAGCAAUGGUGCCCAUUGAUGCUUCUGCUCUUUGUUCUACCCUUGCCUUCCUGCCUCGAAUGAGAAUAUCAAGAGGCCCCUGGCAUGCAGGAACUUGCAGUAUAAAAUGCAAAACCUCCUUGGGAACAGGAGAACACAAACCACAUGCUGUGGGUGGCAGAACAGAGAGAGGAGCCUGGGUCCCUUCUGGCACCAAGUUGAGGCUGGAGCCGCCUGAUCUGUCUCCCUCUGGAAUUUUCCUCAUGACAGAAAAAUAAAUUCCUGUUUGGCUAAACCAC